RNAcentral lists this ribosomal RNA (320 nucleotides) under uncultured Prevotella sp. RNAcentral's name for it is "bacterial SSU rRNA". It matches the Rfam family "Bacterial small subunit ribosomal RNA", at positions 28 to 339 of the family's 1533-position model. The record is from RNAcentral. Lineage: Bacteria; Pseudomonadati; Bacteroidota; Bacteroidia; Bacteroidales; Prevotellaceae.
GAUGAACGCUAGCUACAGGCUUAACACAUGCAAGUCGAGGGGCAUCAUUAUCGAAGCUUGCUUUGAUAGAUGGCGACCGGCGCACGGGUGAGUAACGCGUAUCCAACCUUCCCCUUAGUAGGGCACAGCCCGGCGAAAGUCGGAUUAAUUCCCUAUGUUGUUUGAUGCUGACAUCAAAAUCAAACCAAAGAUUCAUCGCUAAGGGAUGGGGAUGCGUCUGAUUAGAUAGUAGGCGGGGUAACGGCCCACCUAGUCAACGAUCAGUAGGGGUUCUGAGAGGAAGGUCCCCCACAUUGGAACUGAGACACGGUCCAAACUCC